CCGCGUGUGUGAUGAAGGUCUUCGGGUUGUAAAGCACUUUUAGUGGGAACGAAACGGUCCGGGCCAAUACCCUGGACUAAUGACGGUACCCGCAGAAUAAGCACCGGCUAACUACGUGCCAGCAGCCGCGGUAAUACGUAGGGUGCAAGCGUUAAUCGGAAUUACUGGGCGUAAAGCGUGCGCAGGCGGUUUUGUAAGACCGAUGUGAAAUCCCCGGGCUCAACCUGGGAACUGCAUUGGUGACUGCAAGGCUUGAGUGUGUCAGAGGGAGGUGGAAUUCCGCGUGUAGCAGUGAAAUGCGUAGAUAUGCGGAGGAACACCGAUGGCGAAGGCAGCCUCCUGGGAUAACACUGACGCUCAUGCACGAAAGCGUGGGGAGCAAACAGGAUUAGAUACCCUGGUAGUCCACGCCCUAAACGAUGUCUACUAGUUGUCGGGGAUUAAUUUCCUUGGUAACGCAGCUAACGCGGGAAGUAGACCGCCUGGGGAGUACGGUCGCAAGAUUAAAACUCAAAGGAAUUGACGGGGACCCGCACAAGCGGUGGAUGAUGUGGAUUAAUUCGAUGCAACGCGAAAAACCUUACCUACGCUUGACAUGUCUGGAAUCCCGUAGAGAUAUGGGAGUGCUCGAAAGAGAGCCAGAACACAGGUGCUGCAUGGCUGUCGUCAGCUCGUGUCGUGAGAUGUUGGGUUAAGUCCCGCAACGAGCGCAACCCUUAUCAUUAGUUGCUACGAAAGGGCACUCUAAUGAGACUGCCGGUGACAAACCGGAGGAAGGUGGGGAUGACGUCAAGUCCUCAUGGCCCUUAUGCGUAGGGCUUCACACGUCAUACAAUGGUCGGUACAGAGGGUCGCCAACCCGCGAGGGGGAGCCAAUCCCUUAAAACCGAUCGUAGUCCGGAUUGCAGUCUGCAACUCGACUGCAUGAAGUCGGAAUCGCUAGUAAUCGCGGAUCAGAAUGUCGCGGUGAAUACGUUCCCGGGUCUUGUACACACCGCCCGUCACACCAUGGGAGUGGGUUUUACCAGAAGUAGGUAGCUUAACCGCAAGGAGGGCGCUUACCACGGUAGGGCUCAUGACUGGGGUGAAGUCGUAACUAGGUAGCCGUAUCGGAAGGUGCGGCUGGAUCACCUCCUUUCU
This 1140-nucleotide ribosomal RNA is filed under the name uncultured Myxococcales bacterium. Its description in RNAcentral is "bacterial SSU rRNA". It matches the Rfam family "Bacterial small subunit ribosomal RNA", at positions 397 to 1533 of the family's 1533-position model. The record is from RNAcentral. Lineage: Bacteria; Pseudomonadati; Myxococcota; Myxococcia; Myxococcales.